Molecule: ribosomal RNA, 245 nt
Filed under: uncultured Prevotella sp.
Lineage: Bacteria; Pseudomonadati; Bacteroidota; Bacteroidia; Bacteroidales; Prevotellaceae
Description: partial 16S ribosomal RNA
Rfam family: Bacterial small subunit ribosomal RNA
Source: RNAcentral
UACGGAAGGUCCUGGCGUUAUCCGGAUUUAUUGGGUUUAAAGGGAGCGUAGGCGGCCUGUUAAGCGUGUUGUGAAAUGUACCGGCUCAACCGGUGAGUUGCAGCGCGAACUGUCAGGCUUGAGUGCGCCGAAAGCGGGCGGAAUUCGUGGUGUAGCGGUGAAAUGCUUAGAUAUCACGAAGAACUCCGAUUGCGAAGGCAGCUCGCUGUAGCGUUACUGACGCUGAAGCUCGAAGGCGCGGGUAU